UGGUAGAGCACCUGACUCUUAAUCAGGGUGUCCAGGGUUCGAGCCCCUGGCGGUGCA
This 57-nucleotide transfer RNA is filed under the name Lachnospiraceae bacterium. RNAcentral describes it as "tRNA-Ser". It matches the Rfam family "tRNA", at positions 16 to 71 of the family's 71-position model. Rfam says of the family: Transfer RNA (tRNA) molecules are approximately 80 nucleotides in length. Their secondary structure includes four short double-helical elements and three loops (D, anti-codon, and T loops). Further hydrogen bonds mediate the characteristic L-shaped molecular structure. tRNAs have two regions of fundamental functional importance: the anti-codon, which is responsible for specific mRNA codon recognition, and the 3' end, to which the tRNAs corresponding amino acid is attached (by aminoacyl-tRNA synthetases). tRNAs cope with the degeneracy of the genetic code in two manners: having more than one tRNA (with a specific anti-codon) for a particular amino acid; and 'wobble' base-pairing, i.e. permitting non-standard base-pairing at the 3rd anti-codon position. The record is from RNAcentral. Lineage: Bacteria; Bacillati; Bacillota; Clostridia; Lachnospirales; Lachnospiraceae.